Molecule: ribosomal RNA, 624 nt
Filed under: uncultured bacterium
Lineage: Bacteria
Description: bacterial SSU rRNA
Rfam family: Bacterial small subunit ribosomal RNA (bases 1-524)
Source: RNAcentral
CCUACGGGAGGCAGCAGUGGGGAAUAUUGCACAAUGGGCGAAAGCCUGAUGCAGCGACGCCGCGUGAGGGAUGACGGCCUUCGGGUUGUAAACCUCUUUCAGCAGGGAAGAAGCGAAAGUGACGGUACCUGCAGAAGAAGCGCCGGCUAACUACGUGCCAGCAGCCGCGGUAAUACGUAGGGCGCAAGCGUUGUCCGGAAUUAUUGGGCGUAAAGAGCUCGUAGGCGGCUUGUCACGUCGGGUGUGAAAGCCCGGGGCUUAACCCCGGGUCUGCAUUCGAUACGGGCUAGCUAGAGUGUGGUAGGGGAGAUCGGAAUUCCUGGUGUAGCGGUGAAAUGCGCAGAUAUCAGGAGGAACACCGGUGGCGAAGGCGGAUCUCUGGGCCAUUACUGACGCUGAGGAGCGAAAGCGUGGGGAGCGAACAGGAUUAGAUACCCUGGUAGUCCACGCCGUAAACGGUGGGAACUAGGUGUUGGCGACAUUCCACGUCGUCGGUGCCGCNGCUACGCAUACGUUACCCUACCGUCGGGUAGGUACGGCCGCGACGGACGUAAACCGUACGAAACGUAGUAAGUUAGUACGGUUCGUUGUAGACGUUGCCGACGGACGACGACGAGGGAGAGG